RNAcentral lists this ribosomal RNA (581 nucleotides) under uncultured marine eukaryote. RNAcentral's name for it is "bacterial SSU rRNA". It matches the Rfam family "Eukaryotic small subunit ribosomal RNA", at positions 613 to 1185 of the family's 1831-position model. The record is from RNAcentral.
UUGCGGUUAAAAAGCUCGUAGUUGGAUUUCUGUCGAGAACGUCGCGGUCCAGCGCUUUGCGUGAGUAUCUGUGUCCGUCUCGGCAUCCUCUAGAGGGAUCGUUGUCUGCGCUUGAUUGCGUGGAGCGGAACUCUAGACUUUUACUUUGAGGAAAUUAGAGUGUUCACGGCAGGCAUACGCCUUGAAUACAUUAGCAUGGAAUAAUAACAUAGGAGCCUCGGUUCUAUUCUGUUGGUUUCUAGGAAGUCUGAGGCAAUGGAUUAAUAGGGAUAGAUUGGGGGCAUUCGUAUCUAACGCGUCAGAGGUGGAAUUCUUGGAUUGCGUUAUGACGAACUACUGCGAAAGCAUUUGCCAAGGAUGUUUUCAUUGAUCAAGAACGAAAGUUAGGGGAUCGAAGACGCAUUAGAUACCGUCGCUAGUCUUAACCAUAAACUAUGCCGACUAGAGAUUGGAGGUCGUUUUUUUUAUGACUCCUUCAGCACCUUAUGAGAAAUCAAAGUCUUUGGGUUCCGGGGGGAGUAUGGUCGCAAGGCUGAAACUUAAAGGAAUUGACCGAAGGGCACCACCAGGAGUGGAGCCUG